GACGAACGCUGGCGGCGUGCCUAAUACAUGCAAGUAGAACGCACAGUUUAUACCGUAGCUUGCUCCACCAUAGACUGUGAGUUGCGAACGGGUGAGUAACGCGUAGGUAACCUGCCUGGUAGCGGGGGAUAACUAUUGGAAACGAUAGCUAAUACCGCAUAAUAUUGAUUAUUGCAUGAUAAUUAAUUGAAAGGUGCAAUCGCACCACUACCAGAUGGACCUGCGUUGUAUUAGCUAGUAGGUGAGGUAACGGCUCACCUAGGCGACGAUACAUAGCCGACCUGAGAGGGUGAUCGGCCACACUGGGACUGAGACACGGCCCAGACUCCUACGGGAGGCAGCAGUAGGGAAUCUUCGGCAAUGGACGAAAGUCUGACCGAGCAACGCCGCGUGAGUGAAGAAGGUUUUCGGAUCGUAAAGCUCUGUUGUAAGAGAAGAACGGGUGUGAGAGUGGAAAGUUCACACUGUGACGGUAUCUUACCAGAAAGGGACGGCUAACUACGUG
This 505-nucleotide ribosomal RNA is filed under the name uncultured bacterium. RNAcentral describes it as "partial 16S ribosomal RNA". It matches the Rfam family "Bacterial small subunit ribosomal RNA", at positions 28 to 507 of the family's 1533-position model. The record is from RNAcentral.